AGAAUCAACGCUGGCGGCGUGCCUAACACAUGCAAGUCGAACGAGAAAGGGUAGCAAUACCUGAGUAAAGUGGCGCACGGGUGAGUAACACGUGACUAACCUACCCUGGAGUGGGGGAUAACUGAGGGAAACCUUAGCUAAUACCGCAUAAUACCUACGGGUCAAAGGAGCAAUUCGCUUAAGGAGGGGGUCGCGGCAGAUUAGCUAGUUGGCGGGGUAAUGGCCCACCAAGGCAGUGAUCUGUA
This 245-nucleotide ribosomal RNA is filed under the name uncultured bacterium. RNAcentral's name for it is "partial small subunit ribosomal RNA". It matches the Rfam family "Bacterial small subunit ribosomal RNA", at positions 26 to 285 of the family's 1533-position model. The record is from RNAcentral.